Molecule: long non-coding RNA, 2550 nt
Filed under: Bemisia tabaci
Lineage: Eukaryota; Metazoa; Arthropoda; Insecta; Hemiptera; Aleyrodidae
Description: lncRNA ENSSSA1UGG007098
Source: RNAcentral
AAGUUUUUCUGUGACACGAAACGUAAGGCUACCAAAAUUUUUUGACAAAGUGUGAAAUUUCAAGAUGGUGGCCGACGAAGGAGAUGGAGAAGGACAGAAGGAGCGCGAGCGCCCAUUCCAACAUUCGAAGAUCAUUGGUCGUGACGUACCGAUGACGUAGACUAGUCAGCCAACUAUCAGCCAAUGAGAAAUUAAUAUGUGUUAUCACUUAUCAUGCGUUAUCAAUUGUUUAUGUUUUUGUACGGUUGAUUUUUGUAACGAAUUUACAUUUACAGUUUGUGGAAGUUUUCGGUCGUAAGUAAUCAGCAAAAAUAAUUUAAUUUUUGCGCUCAGUGACACAAUGCCACCGGCACUUCAUGUAAAUAAUGCACUUUUAUAUUUUUAAGAGGAAACUACCUUUGAUAAGGAAUUCACAGCUAUUUAAGUGGAUAGUGGAAACAUAAGACAUUUACCUAGCUCUGCAAACCGAAUCGAGUGGAAUAAUUAUUUAAAUAAUAUGUAGUAGAGUCACUGAUUCUCUUUUCAAUGGCCGCCUCACAUGUAAAAGAGCCCACAAUUUUCCACUGUAACUCAUCACCUAUAACUGCCAAACCAUCAAAAAAGCUGAAGAUUUGCUCCACACAUGUUUUUAAAUAUCCUUGCCAACAAAAGGAAUCAGUGACGGAACAUGAGAGUCCUAUCCGGCCGCAUAAGAACAGUCUACGAUCCAAACAAGCUACAGAUAAGCAACCACAUUUCAAACAGAAAUUUCAAGAACUACACUCUUCCUUUUCUGAUAAUGGAGCACUGAAUGUCAAUUGUUCUUUUUUGGUAGGAGAAACCGCAGUUAAUUCCAAUACAACUUGUGCUCAAGUGAAUUGUCAAAAGGAAGUCCCAAGCAAACAGAUGAAGGGGUCCAAGCCUGUACUUAUUGCUCAAGCUCAUUGCUUGUCAGAAAUAUCAAAUGAAAACCUUAAUAGAAAAUACCGCAUGUUCAAGAGAGGAAGUAAAUUAUUACCUGGUUGUGGUAACAAGAAAGUUCAUUUUACAAGUAUUGAUAAAGAAAACCAGACCCUUAGUUCUUUUGUUAAAGAUUUGAAUACUGUAACUAACUCUAAGCCUUUUCCAAGGACUCAAAUCCUUAUCUCCAAGCCUGAAAAAUUUCACAAUCAUCGCAAGAACCAGUUUGAUCUGCUGCACUCUUCUUUUUUACCCCUCAAGGAACCUACUGACAAGACAACCUCAAAUACAGAGAUCAAUGAAGUUUUUUUUGAAGAAAAGGAAGCUCUGAAUAAAUAUGAGUGUUCUGAACCAGAUUUCUCACUUUCCGCCCAGCAGUCAGAGAGCUUAGAGGUGGCUGACACUGACCACACUGUGGGAAAAUGGAAGUCACAUUAUUUCUCUCCAACCACUGCUUGUCACCAAUUAAAUUCAACAAGAGAAUCAGCCGAAAAUUUCUCUCAUUUGAAACCAAUAUCAGAUCAUGAGAGGAUCUCCUCUUUAAUUUCAAAGAUGCCCUUUCAUGAACGAAGCAUGUACAUGGAUUCCACGAUCAACUUAAAUUUGGAAAAUCAGAGCACUAGUGAAAAAGGUUUCCAUGCCCUCAGUGAGGAAACUGCUAAAUUUCCUUCAAAUGAGUGUGACAUACUCUUCUCAUCAGUUGUGGAAUGGAGACAAUUUUUUCCAUGUGACAACAAUUGUGAUGGGAAAUCGAUUAGCUCUGACUCAAACAGUCGGUCUGAAUUGACAAUUGCUACCAAAACGCACAAUUCACCUGCUUCCAAGAAAUUUAUGUCAGAAGCUAACAAACAUAAUUCCUAUGCAAAUCCAAGAACCAAUGCAGACCAUGAAUCAAAAGGUACACUCAAAAAACCCACUUGCACGUCGAAGAUAUUUUCCAAUUUGAACCUCUUUGCUGUAAAGGAGGAAGCAGUGCAACGACCAGCAGAACAAUCCAGUAGUAUUCAGCAAUGCAAACCCAAUGUAAAUUACUUGAACAUAUCGAUGAUAGAAUCCUGUUAUACUGAUUUCAAAAUUCCAUCCCAGACAGUCAAACAGUCAGGUCUGGAAAACCAGUUGGAUGUGAAAAAUAUUACCAAACUAUUCAUCAUAGAUUUGCUAAGAGUAGCUCCUACUCCUCAAAGAAAUCAUUAUCUCUUCCACCAUAAAAUUAUCCACCGGGUGGAUGUUUUCGGUGUUGUAACAGGAGUUCGAUUGGUGGGAGAUGAUAAAGUAAUAUAUGAAGUGGAUGAUGGAUCUGGAACUAUAAGUUGCGUUCACCGUCAAACAAGAUUAAAAGCAAAAAUACAAAAAUUGAAUAAUCUCCUAAGUUUAAAGAGAAGGGAUGAGACUUUAAACAAUGAGUCAUUGAAUCAAACGGAAAUCACGAUCACGAACAAUUCUACCAAAGAGAAAAAUUCCGAUGAGGAUACUGCUUUAAGAAAGGUAAGAUGUACAUCAAAAUAUAUUAAGGUCGUGUUCACUGAAGUAUGGAGUAAUUUUAUUAGCUCAGAGGAGGCUCCACUUUUAAAGGUUUAUUUAUUAGUUUUUAUACCUAAUCUUAACUUUUAA